CCCUUAGAUGUCCGGGGCUGCACGCGCGCUACACUGACUGGCUCAGCGUGUGCCUACCCUACGCCGGCAGGCGCGGGUAACCCGUUGAACCCCAUUCGUGAUGGGGAUCGGGGAUUGCAAUUAUUCCCCAUGAACGAGGAAUUCCCAGUAAGUGCGGGUCAUAAGCUUGCGUUGAUUAAGUCCCUGCCCUUUGUACACACCGCCCGUCGCUACUACCGAUUGGAUGGUUUAGUGAGGCCCUCGGAUCGGCCCCGCCGGGGUCGGCCCACGGCCCUGGCGGAGCGCUGAGAAGACGGUCGAACUUGACUAUCUAGAGGAAGUAAAAGUCGUAACG
Molecule: ribosomal RNA, 334 nt
Filed under: uncultured eukaryote
Lineage: Eukaryota
Description: partial 18S ribosomal RNA
Rfam family: Eukaryotic small subunit ribosomal RNA
Source: RNAcentral